Leptidea sinapis is the source of this 805-nucleotide long non-coding RNA. RefSeq lists it as uncharacterized. The transcript is spliced from 3 exons. Lineage: Eukaryota; Metazoa; Arthropoda; Insecta; Lepidoptera; Pieridae. The record is from RefSeq and is a predicted model, not a curated record.
UCUCACGCAUGGCCACUAUAUAACGGUCAUACGUCGCACAGACAAACAUCACUCUAUUGGUUUCUUUCAAACUCAUCAAACAAACAAACAACAUGAAGACAUCCGUUUUUGCAGUCCUAGUAGCGGUGGUAGCUGUGGUCAGCGCGGCUCCGGAAGGCAAGCGUGAGAAGCGCGGCUACCUCCACGGUGGUCUGGACCUCCACUCCCACGACUUCGGCUAUGGCCACGGCCACUCACUAGACCUGGGCUAUGGCCACGGCCACUCACUGGGCUUGUCGCACGGCCACUACGACCUGCUCGACGCACCCGUUCUGCACGCUGCGCCCGCUGCCAAGAUCGUAUCAGUGCACAAAGUUGUGGAAGUCCCCAAGAUCGUCGAAGUGAAGAAAAUUGUUUCCGUCCCCAAGUUGGUGUCAGUUCCCAGAGUUGUGAAGGUGUCAAAAAUCGUGGAGGAUCCCCACUUCUACUCCCCGUCUUACUCCUCAGGAUGGUGGUGAUUAUUAGUCCCCGCUACCAAUAGUUAAAUAUCCUUAAUUCAUAUUCCAUCUUCAUUCACGGCGUAUAACUUACCCAGCAAGUCUGUUAACGACUGUAGCUCAUCAGACAUCCGACUCAUAGACAACAGAUCUCUCAUACCCAACUAUUGAUUUACCAUUACGCUGUCACAGCCGAAGUGUGAACAUUACCGGGUAAUACGCGCUGCAUAGUCAUACUCCUAGCAUAUCUUUAGCAUAGUCGAAGUCGGGAGGCUCUCUACUACCAAAACUAUCUCUUAAGAAUAAUAUACGAUAUUUUAUGAACUAAA